This 466-nucleotide ribosomal RNA is filed under the name uncultured bacterium. RNAcentral's name for it is "partial 16S ribosomal RNA". It matches the Rfam family "Bacterial small subunit ribosomal RNA", at positions 28 to 507 of the family's 1533-position model. The record is from RNAcentral.
GAUGAACGCUGGCGGCGUGCUUAACACAUGCAAGUCGAACGAUGAAGCCCAGCUUGCUGGGUGGAUUAGUGGCGAACGGGUGAGUAACACGUGAGUAACCUGCCCUUAACUCUGGGAUAAGCCUGGGAAACUGGGUCUAAUACCGGAUAGGAGCGCCCACCGCAUGGUGGGUGUUGGAAAGAUUUAUCGGUUUUGGAUGGACUCGCGGCCUAUCAGCUUGUUGGUGAGGUAAUGGCUCACCAAGGCGACGACGGGUAGCCGGCCUGAGAGGGUGACCGGCCACACUGGGACUGAGACACGGCCCAGACUCCUACGGGAGGCAGCAGUGGGGAAUAUUGCACAAUGGGCGCAAGCCUGAUGCAGCGACGCCGCGUGAGGGAUGACGGCCUUCGGGUUGUAAACCUCUUUCAGUAGGGAAGAAGCGAAAGUGACGGUACCUGCAGAAGAAGCACCGGCUAACUACGUG